CGUCCCCAAAAAUUUCCUACGGGGAGGGCAAGCAGUAGGGAUCUUCCACAAUGGACGCCAGUCGAUGAGGCCACGCCCGCUGGUGAAGAAGUUUUCGAUCGUAAGCUCUGUUGUUGGUGAAGAAGAUAGAGGCAGUACUGGUCUUUAUUGACGGUAUCAACCAGAAAGUCACGGCUAACUACGUGCCAGCAGCCGCGGUAAUACGUAGGUGGCAAGCGUGUCCGGAUUAUUGGGCGUAAAGCGAGCGCAGGCGGAAUGAUAAGUCUGAUGUGAAAGCCACGGCUCAACCGUGGAACUGCAUCGGAAACUGUCAUUCUUGAGUGCAGAAGAGGAGAGUGGAACUCCAUGUGUAGCGGUGGAAUGCGUAGAUAUAUGGAAGAACACCAGUGGCGAAGGCGGCUCUCUGGUCUGCAACUGACGCUGAGGCUCGAAAGCAUGGGUAGCGAACAGGAUUAGAUACCCUGGUAGUCCAUGCCGUAAACGAUGAGCGCUAGGUGUUGGGGACUUUCCGGUUCUCAGUGCCGCAGCAAACGCAUUAAGCGCUCCGCCUGGGGAGUACGACCGCAAGGUUGAAACUCAAAGGAAUUGACGGGGGCCCGCACAAGCGGUGGAGCAUGUGGUUUAAUUCGAAGCAACGCGAAGAACCUUACCAGGUCUUGACAUCCUGUGCAACAGCUAGAGAUAGCUGGUUCCCUUCGGGGACGCAGAGACAGGUGGUGCAUGGCUGUCGUCAGCUCGUGUCGUGAGAUGUUGGGUUAAGUCCCGCAACGAGCGCAACCCUUGUCUUUAGUUGCCAUCAUUAAGUUGGGCACUCUAAAGAGACUGCCGGUGACAAACCGGAGGAAGGUGGGGAUGACGUCAAGUCAUCAUGCCCCUUAUGACCUGGGCUACACACGUGCUACAAUGGGCAGUACAACGAGAAGCAAACCCGCGAGGGUAAGCGGAUCUCUUAAAGCUGUUCUCAGUUCGGACUGCAGGCUGCAACUCGCCUGCACGAAGCUGGAAUCGCUAGUAAUCGCGGAUCAGCACGCCGCGGUGAAUACGUUCCCGGGCCUUGUACACACCGCCCGUCACACCAUGGAAGUCUGCAAUGCCCAAAGUCGGUGGGAUAACCAUUUUGGAGUCAGCCGCCUAAGGCAGGGCAGAUGACUGGGGUGAAGUCGUAACAAGGUAACCGUA
Molecule: ribosomal RNA, 1179 nt
Filed under: Lactobacillus sp. AB5262
Lineage: Bacteria; Bacillati; Bacillota; Bacilli; Lactobacillales; Lactobacillaceae
Description: bacterial SSU rRNA
Rfam family: Bacterial small subunit ribosomal RNA
Source: RNAcentral